ACGAUUUAAGCUAAAAAUUACUUAAUUAAUCAAUUAACUUUAUUUAUAAAGAAUUACACUUGACAGAAAUUAAGCUAAUAAGCUCGUGGUCCUCUUUCAACGUCUCUAAUUAAUUAGGGACGGAACCACCGUUAUCGUGGUCAUCAUCCGAGCCAGGUUAAGSUCUAACCAUUUGGAGAUGUAAUUACAAAGGCAUCACCUCAGACCUAAGACCCUGAGCCUUAGUAUGUUAAGCCCCUGGAUUUGAGACCCUAAGGUAGAACUAGAAAACAAAACCAACCCAACCAGAGAACAACUACCAACAAAGCUGCCAACGAGGAGAUCUACGAUAACGAACUUGAGAUGGACGAAAAUGUGGUAUCCGCUGUUACAACAUCACUUGCACAGCCGCCUGCCAACACUGGACCGGAAUAUGAAACCAUACCACUGCCAAAUGAGAUUGCAAGGCCUCA
This is a long non-coding RNA of Actinia tenebrosa (Australian red waratah sea anemone), 452 nucleotides long. The record is from RefSeq and is a predicted model, not a curated record. Lineage: Eukaryota; Metazoa; Cnidaria; Anthozoa; Actiniaria; Actiniidae.